GGACUGCGACCUCUAGAAUGUGUACUAACUCUGUUGGAGAACAAGUGAUGACGGUACUGUUUGAAAUAAUGACUUCAGUCCUUUUCACACGAAUUCACAGGAGGUGAUUUACAUUCCGUUCCACGUCAUCUUGACUGGGACAACCAUCACCAUUGGGCCGAAACAAAAUGAGAUGUCACAUUAUUUGGUGCCACAAUGUGGGGCCCGACGCGACAACGACUGCAGAGUGCGGGUCGAUGCUUUGCAACUACGAGACACAUGAACACAUCUGCAGAGGGAGCGACACAACGCGUUGGAGGACUGAACCAGAGCAGAACAUUGGUCGAGACAGCGACAUCAGCUGCCGACAGUGACGUGAGCGAGACUACGACAGCGCACAAGCAGAUGAUAAAUAGUAAUCACUACUCAAAGUAAGUGAUUAUCCAGCAUACUCAACAGAGGUGAUGCAGACUAUGUCAGGAUAGAUUGUGCUGAGGUGUUGUACCGUCUACCGGGAGUGCAGCCACUGGACAACGAGAGUAACCAGACAACCAUGCAUAAUCAGAUUGCACUCACUGCCAUAUAUGAUCUGAUGCUGUUGCGGCUUCACCAUGGCCGAUAGAGGAGAAGGCACUGGCUUCGAACUGGGCCAUGUUUGCAGCUUUGCACGGACUGGUGCAGGUGCAGUGACAGUGUGGUGAUACGCCGAAAAUAUAAAUGUGACAGUGAAAUGAAAUAAUGAAAUAUUUAAGGCACAUGGAACCUAAGUUCAAAUUCAUGUAAAAGAAACAAUGUUAUGAUUCAAUUUUUUUGUAUGUUUAUGUGUCUGAAUGACAGUAUGCCAAUAAUAAA
Schistocerca piceifrons (Central American locust) is the source of this 831-nucleotide long non-coding RNA. RefSeq lists it as uncharacterized. Lineage: Eukaryota; Metazoa; Arthropoda; Insecta; Orthoptera; Acrididae. The transcript is spliced from 3 exons. The record is from RefSeq and is a predicted model, not a curated record.